RNAcentral lists this ribosomal RNA (502 nucleotides) under uncultured bacterium. RNAcentral describes it as "partial 16S ribosomal RNA". It matches the Rfam family "Bacterial small subunit ribosomal RNA", at positions 29 to 523 of the family's 1533-position model. The record is from RNAcentral.
AUUGAACGCUGGCGGCGUGCUUAACACAUGCAAGUCGAUCGGUAACAGGUGUAGCAAUACAUGCUGACGAGAGGCGGACGGGUGAGGAACGCUUGGGAAUCUGCCUAUCAGCGGGGGACAACCCGGGGAAACCCGGGCUAAUACCGCAUACGCUCUACGGAGGAAAGCCGGGGACCGCAAGGCCUGGCACUGAUAGAUGAGCCCAAGUCGGAUUAGCUAGUUGGCGGGGUAACGGCCCACCAAGGCGACGAUCCGUAGCUGGUCUGAGAGGACGAUCAGCCACACCGGAACUGAGACACGGUCCGGACUCCUACGGGAGGCAGCAGUGGGGAAUAUUGGACAAUGGGCGAAAGCCUGAUCCAGCGACGCCGCGUGGGUGAAGAAGGCCUGCGGGUUGUAAAGCCCUUUCGGUAGGGACGAAAGCUCUCGACCUAACACGUCGGGAGGUUGACUUAACCUACAAAAGAAGCACCGGCUAACUCUGUGCCAGCAGCCGCAGUAA